RNAcentral lists this ribosomal RNA (441 nucleotides) under Astragalus danicus. RNAcentral describes it as "eukaryotic LSU rRNA". The stretch from base 301 to 441 matches the Rfam family "Eukaryotic large subunit ribosomal RNA", at positions 1 to 141 of the family's 3401-position model. Lineage: Eukaryota; Viridiplantae; Streptophyta; Magnoliopsida; Fabales; Fabaceae. The record is from RNAcentral.
UGCAGAAUCCCGUGAACCAUCGAGUCUUUGAACGCAAGUUGCGCCCGAAGCCAUCAGGUUGAGGGCACGUCUGCCUGGGCGUCACAUAUCGUUGCCCGAUGCCUAUUGCAGUGCAAUAGGAAUUUCUAGGGCGAAUGAUGGCUUCCCGUGAGCGUUGUUGCCUCGCGGUUGGUUGAAAAUCGAGUCCUUGGUAGGGUGUGCCAUGAUAGAUGGUGGUCGAGUUAGCACGAUACCGAUCAUGUGCAUGCCCCCCAAAAUAUGGCCUCUAUGACCCACACGCGUCUUUUGACGCUCAUGACGAGACCUCAGGUCAGGCGGGGCUACCCGCUGAAUUUAAGCAUAUCAAUAAGCGGAGGAAAAGAAACUAACAAGGAUUCCCUUAGUAACGGCGAGCGAACCGGGAAGAGCCCACCAUGAGAAUCGGCCGCCCUCGGCGUUCGA